Molecule: ribosomal RNA, 446 nt
Filed under: Triticum aestivum (bread wheat)
Lineage: Eukaryota; Viridiplantae; Streptophyta; Magnoliopsida; Poales; Poaceae
Description: partial small subunit ribosomal RNA
Source: RNAcentral
GUUCAGCUCUAAAAUAGACUGUAAUCAAGUACAGUGUGUAUGCAGUCCUGAGCUGAUACAAAUAAACCACCGUAUCAACUUCAGAUCUGCAGUAGCUCCAGGAAACGAAUUGAAAAUUCGAAAAUAAAAUAAAAAAGAGAAAUCAAUGGGCACAAGAACACGAACUGCAUCUGCCUCGCAUCGACGGAUCCCCGCCAGAGCCUCCAUCAGGGUUGCUUCAGGUUGGGAGAGGGCAACAUGAGGACGACGAUUACGUGGAGAUCCGCAUAUGGGGAUAUGCGGUCGACGCGUCUACUCGUGCGGCCUCACCUCGUCGAGUGCUGCCACAGGCGCGGCCGUUGGUGCUGCUGCAAGGCGGCUCCGCGGCGGAGGCGAUGGGCAAGGACCGAACUGGUCGCUGUGGGCAGCGGUAUCGUUAUCCAAUUACGGCGGGACUUGUUUACCCG